This 672-nucleotide ribosomal RNA is filed under the name uncultured Basidiomycota. RNAcentral describes it as "eukaryotic LSU rRNA". The stretch from base 259 to 412 matches the Rfam family "5.8S ribosomal RNA". Lineage: Eukaryota; Fungi; Basidiomycota. The record is from RNAcentral.
UCGUAGGUGAACCUGCGGAAGGAUCAUUACUGAAGAAAUGUUAGGGUUGAGCUGACUCCUUGGAGUAUGUGCUUGCCCUAUCACUCCUUCCUUCUCCUCCUGUGCACCUCUGUAGGCUACGAAAACUGUCGGUUUGGGCAACCAAGACUGGAUUGGGAACUUGCUUCGGCAUGUUCUUGUAUUCGUAGCCUAUGCUUUACAAACUCUUAUAAAACUUGAGAAUGUGUUGUUUGGUUUUAAACCAAUAAAAUACAAAACAACUUUCAGCAACGGAUCUCUUGGCUCUCGCAUCGAUGAAGAACGCAGCGAAAUGCGAUAAGUAAUGUGAAUUGCAGAAUUCAGUGAAUCAUCGAAUCUCUGAACGCACCUUGCGCCCCUUGGUAUUCCGAGGGGCACGCCUGUUUGAGUGUCAUUAAAUUUCUCAAACCUUGAAGUUGGUUUUAUUGACUUUCAAGGAUUUGGAUGUGGAAGUUGCUGGACUUUCAGUAGUUCAGCUCUUCUUAAAUGCAUUAGCGGGUCUACUGGUCCCCUUUCAUUGGUGUGAUAAUUAUCUACGCCUUCGAAAUGACCUCUCGUAGCUGCUCUCUAAUCGUCUUCGGACAAUAUAUCACAAUUUGACCUCAAAUCAGGUGGGACUACCCGCUGAACUUAAGCAUAUCAAUAAGCGGAGGA